Grammomys surdaster is the source of this 145-nucleotide small nucleolar RNA. RefSeq annotates it as small nucleolar RNA SNORA48. The transcript has a single exon. Lineage: Eukaryota; Metazoa; Chordata; Mammalia; Rodentia; Muridae. The record is from RefSeq and is a predicted model, not a curated record.
UACCUCCUGGAAAUGGGAAAAGAGUCACCUUGGUUUUGGUGUCAUUCUUAAAUCAGUCAGGGGCAGAUCAGAUGGCAGUCCUUUGUUUAUCUUAGCUUGAUGCCUAGCUUGGUGGCCAAUGCUAUCUUAUGCCUAGGAUUCAUAA